AAUCAACGCUGGCGGCGUGCCUCAGACAUGCAAGUCGAACGCGAAAGGUUCCUUCGGGAACCGAGUAGAGUGGCGCACGGGUGAGUAACACGUAGGUAAUUUGCCUUUGGGUGGGGAAUAACAGCCGGAAACGGCUGCUAAUACCGCAUAAUGCAGCGGCUCGACAUCGAGACAGUUGUUAAAGCGGGGGAUCGCAAGACCUCGCGCCUAAAGAGAAGCCUGCGGCAGAUUAGCUAGUUGGUAGGGUAAUGGCCUACCAAGGCGACGAUCUGUAACCGGCCUGAGAGGGCGGUCGGUCACACUGACACUGACAUACGGGCCAGACUCCUACGGGAGGCAGCAGUCGGGAAUUUUGGGCAAUGGGCGAAAGCCUGACCCAGCAACGCCGCGUGAAGGAU
Molecule: ribosomal RNA, 398 nt
Filed under: uncultured bacterium
Lineage: Bacteria
Description: bacterial SSU rRNA
Rfam family: Bacterial small subunit ribosomal RNA
Source: RNAcentral